This 76-nucleotide small RNA is filed under the name Arabidopsis thaliana (thale cress). RNAcentral describes it as "ATSL076240". The record is from RNAcentral. Lineage: Eukaryota; Viridiplantae; Streptophyta; Magnoliopsida; Brassicales; Brassicaceae.
AGUGUCUUUGUUUUCUACAGUAACCUCUUUUGCUUCAGAAUCCUCAGGCUGUGAUUCCUCAGCCUCUGACUUGGGU